GACGUAGGGCGCGAGCGUUGUCCGGAUUUAUUGGGCGUAAAGAGCUCGUAGGCGGCUCAUCGCGUCUGCCGUGAAAACCUGUGGCUCAACUACAGGCUUGCGGUUGAUACGGGUGGGCUGGAGUUCGGUAGGGGAGACUGGAAUUCCUGGUGUAGCGGUGAAAUGCGUAGAUAUCUGGAGGAAUACCGGUGGCGAAGGCGGCAUCCUGGACCGGCAUUGACGCUGAGGAGCGAAAGCCAGGGGAGCAAACGGG
Molecule: ribosomal RNA, 253 nt
Filed under: uncultured bacterium
Lineage: Bacteria
Description: partial 16S ribosomal RNA
Rfam family: Bacterial small subunit ribosomal RNA
Source: RNAcentral